This 229-nucleotide unclassified non-coding RNA is filed under the name plant metagenome. RNAcentral describes it as "partial contains small subunit ribosomal RNA, internal transcribed spacer 1, and 5.8S ribosomal RNA". The record is from RNAcentral.
UCUCCGUAGGUGAACCUGCGGAGGGAUCAUUACAGAGUUCAUGCCCUAACGGGUAGAUCUCCCACCCUAUGUUAUCAUCACUUUGUUGCUUUGGCGGGCCGUCAGGCCUCGGUUUGGCUACCGGCUCUCGCUGGUAAGCGCCCGCCAGAGAACCCCAAACCCUGAAUAUCAGUGUCGUCUGAGUACUAUAUAAUAGUUAAAACUUCCAACAACGGAUCUCUUGGUUCUG